RNAcentral lists this long non-coding RNA (320 nucleotides) under Ananas comosus (pineapple). RNAcentral describes it as "long non-coding RNA (ACOM_LNC007674)". The record is from RNAcentral. Lineage: Eukaryota; Viridiplantae; Streptophyta; Magnoliopsida; Poales; Bromeliaceae.
UCUUCCCAAGUUCAACAAAAUUCAAAAUGUAUAGUGAUCAACAAUGCGUUAAAUAAUAUAAAACAACUAUAGUGAUCUGCAAUGUAUUAAAUAAUGUGUUAAAUAAUGUAAAACAACUAGAUAUGAAGCAACAGUUAUCUAAAACUUAAGCUGAUAGAGAAUGGUGUCUUGGCUCGAGUCUUUUUAAAAUAGGAGAAAUCGAUUAUGCUAUAAGCCUAGCGUGAAAUAACAUGUUAAAUUAUAUGAAAUGACUGUUAUUUUAUAAAAAUUUAAGUCAGUAGAGAAUAUUAUUUUUAUAUUUCUAUAUUUAUUUAACGUAA